Papaver somniferum (opium poppy) is the source of this 3629-nucleotide long non-coding RNA. RefSeq lists it as uncharacterized. The record is from RefSeq and is a predicted model, not a curated record. The transcript has 2 exons. Lineage: Eukaryota; Viridiplantae; Streptophyta; Magnoliopsida; Ranunculales; Papaveraceae.
UACUUGCUACUUUUCCGGUGCCUUAUAUUUGUAGUUACUACUUUCUUUCAGUUUUUAUUACUUGAAUGUUUUAAAACAUUUACUGUGGAAAUUUAUUUGAUCGAUUUUCCAUUGCUUUGGGAAUUGGGGAAACUAACUGGAUGCCGUGAUAUACAUAUCAUUACGUGUGUGUUAGUAAUGUACAUUACUAACCAAUUGCGAGUCUGAAAUUUGUUCUGUUUUGAAGAUGUCGCAGUGUGCCAUAUCUGUAGUCUAAAGCUAAGUAAGAAUAACAAUCUCAGCAAGAGGACAAAACCCAUCGAUUGCAAUUUAGAACAGCUGGCAGGUCCAAUUAUGACCAUUGCGGUUGGCAUUAGAUAAUAUGGUCAGUCGAGCACUGUUGUAGACUUGAAGGAGUUCAAGAAAAAUGUAGGAAAUGACAGAGUGAUUAGUGGGACAGAGGAUUCUCUCAAAGGCUGGUAGGUAUCGAGAAGGAGUUUGAUGUUAUGUAAGUACAGGAGGAGAAGAAGAUUAGGCUUGCAUUGAGGUAGGGGUUUUAUUUUUUAUUUUUUUUCCGCAUUUUUUUAAAUUUCAGUUUCACUUUGUGCUCACCAUUUUCAGGCCAUGAGAGUUUAAUAAUUUCUUCUGAUGAUCUACAUUUCCAGUCAGGUGUGUGAGAUAGGUUUUGUGUUGCUUAAUCUAUAAUACGACGUUGUAAAAGUUUGCUGGAGUCAUUUUACCUAUUCGGAAAAAAAAAAAAAAAAACUUAGCUAAAAACAGUGUUUUCGAUGCUUGCCCUAUAUUAGUUUUCAAUCAACUUUCUCCAUGAUUUUUGCGUUGAUACUUGAUUGAUACUGCAAGUCCCAGUAAGAAUAGAAAUUGGAAAAUUGAAUUUUGAACUUUGAAUUUCUUCUUGACUUGCCAACAUUGCUGAAAGAGAAUUUCUUCUUGACUUGCCAACUAUCAUAAGCCUUACUAUUUGUUUUGAAAGGAAAUUGUUAACCCUCCGGAAUACUUACUUUGACAUCCGUGAUUCCCAUAUCUUCACUUUGAUUUAACUGCAUACUUAGUCACUUCUUGUUAACAUAUGCUCCAAUUUUGAAAGUUGCAAACGAUUUUUUUUAUAGGCUCUAAUAUUUUGUCAGGGUUGAUCGACUAAUCGUGGUUCAAAGAAAUGCGCAAUCCUAAUUCUGAUUAAUUUUGGCUUAAAUUUUAACCACUGGGUAGAGUUGAGUUCCCAUUUAAAAAAAAAAAACUUAAUUCAUCGUAAUGCCGAUUUUCCCUUGAAUGAAAAACCGUGGUGACAGUUAUAGUUUCUAACCCUUUUCUUAGUUACCCACCUUGUAGUCACCACUUGGAACUUUUUGCAUGCAAUCCCUUGUUUGUUUAACUGCUUUUGAUCAAAGAAAAAUGAACUUCCUGUGGUUUACAACACCCAUGGUCUGAACUAGUAAAUGUCACAUCUCCCCUUUUCAUAUAAUGAUUUAGUACUUCAAACUCGUUCAAUAAUUCUCCGAAAUUCUCUUUAUAUCUUGGAAAUGAUAUUCAUUUGAUUCCAUUUGAAAUUAUGCUUCCAUUUCAAUGUAUUUACUUAAAAGAUUUCUGAUAAAUAUUUAGUCUAGCUAAAUGGGGCUUGUGUCAAUAUUUGUUUUUCCUAGCUUUGUCCUUUUGUGUCUCAUGUGCUUGUUGGACAAGAACAUUUUCUACCUUUUCAUAGUGUCAAGUGUUAACUUUAAACUAGUGUCUACCUGUUAUUGCACGUGUGAUCCCUUUUUAUUUAAGCUUAUGACUUGCGCAAGCUUUCCUAAUACACUUUGACAACUAAUACAUAUAUAAAAUCUUUUUUUACACUUGCCAUAAUUUUUAUGCCGAUUAGAUGAGUGUGUCCUGAACUACUAGUUAGAGGAGUCUCAGAAAGAACAUUGUUCUAUUUAAAUUAGGGCGUCUUGCAUAUCCACGAGAGAAAGCAAAGCAAAGCAUUUAUGACCAGAAGGACUGUUACAACCAUUGGACUUCGUUGGUAUGAAUUUUGGCAGGGAAAAGAUAGUAGUAGUGUGACCAUUAGUCGACUAACAAAGUCAACUUGUUUUCUUUCGAUAGAACAUAUAGACAUUGUCAUACCCUAUGCAACUUUUACUUCAAAGAAAUUGUCAUGGUACACCGAAUUCCUUUGUCGGUCGGUUAGAGUAAGACCUGUUGUAAAUGUCCAAGUAUCACGAGAGUUUCUAACAAGCUAUAGGAUCGAGCUAGAUACGGGUUUCGCAUUUCACCUUCGGUAGAUGCUGAUUUAGAACAGACUUCUCAGGUUCCGGAAGAUAUAUAUCAGGCAUGCGUGAUCGACUACAGAUACAAAGUGAAAGGAGCAUAUUGGGUCCAGAAGUGUUUGAAGAAACUACUUCAAAUAUCAAAGUCAUCCGAAAGCGAUUGAAAACAACAGAAUGCGUCAAAGAGUUAUGCCGAUUCCAGAAGGUGACCACUGGAUUUUAAAAUUUGGAGCGAUUCACAGCCGAAUGGCGACGCAAUUUACAGUGGAAGCCAGUACAAGGUAACAAGAUCUUCGAACAAAAACUACCUUGACGGUGAAAGUAGUAUAUUGCAGUAUUUUGAAGAAGCAACCUGGGAAUUCAAGCCCGAUGCGCAAAGAACAAGACAAGUACCAGGAGUAAGGUAACCUUCAUAGCCUUUUCGUUUAUUUUUGAAUUUGGGGGACCAAAUUCUUUUUUAGGUGUUGAUGGUGUAACAACCGCCUAAAUUAUCUGGUUGGCUUUAAGUUCGAGUUCAACCCAUUCGAGUGGGAAACUAGAGUUUUGUAGUGUUCGCGUGCAAUCCUGGUAGCAGAUAGGAAUAGCCAUGGUGAGUUCCAUAAUCAUAAAAUGAGUGCCUAAAACUAAAUAGACUAUCCCUUUAGUAGUAUUAGAGUGCACGGUUAGUAGAAUCUAAGAAAAUUCUAGAAACCUUAAACAUGGGUUACACGUGUUUUUAUCAAAAGAAAAUUUUCUUUAGAAACCCAAACUUAGCUCUAUUUUUUUUAACUUUACUUUCCCUUGGUUUUAUUGCAUUUGCUUUAUUUUGAGCCGUGGACUUAAUUGAGAUCAAUGGAAGAAAGAAAUCCAUUUUCACCUUGAGAUUUUUGCUGAUCCAUUGGGGGAGCACCUGUUGCCAUUGAGGCACUAUUUUUCGUCGUUACGACUCCUACUGGGCAUUCGCCUACCCCUUUCUUUGUUUUUCUCCCACAGAAUAUAAUAGGAGCGUGUCAACAGUAGGCCGGAUAGAGCUUACAACAGACUUUGGAAGCAUUAAGUGUUAGUAUUUUGCGGACUAUAUGGUGUGUGUAUCACGGGGCUAAUCUGGGGUUGUUUGUGUAGUUACUAAAUCGUGUUCUACUAUUUCAUUUCAUGUUUUGCUACUAACAAAUAUGCUAAGAUAUUUUCAAAGUUAGUGUAUGGUUUGUAAGUGGGAACUUCAUUAUGCCGAUGACUUAAAGGUCUAAUUUUAUUUCUUUUAUUUUUGGUGUCUAUUUUCUGUGUUCUUUUUAAACUUCUACUUGUAUGUUACGAAGGUAUAAUUUUUCCUUGUACUAUUUGGCUAUGUCUUCAACUGAUAAAUGAGUAGUAUGAAUGACGUUAAAUGCUAGUUGGUUUUUGCCUCAA